UAUUAAAAAUUUAUCUAUUUAUACGGUUAAAACUGGAAUGACUGAUAGAUUAACCAAACAGUAAUACAUGGUAUGCCUCGUAUACCUCGUCCUGAUGUACAUGAACUAAUUUUUAAUAGUACAAAUAGAUAUUUAUAACA
Non-coding RNA from Gossypium arboreum, 140 nucleotides. The record is from Rfam. Lineage: Eukaryota; Viridiplantae; Streptophyta; Magnoliopsida; Malvales; Malvaceae.